Homo sapiens (human) is the source of this 521-nucleotide long non-coding RNA. The record is from Ensembl. NCBI's taxonomy places the organism in Eukaryota, Metazoa, Chordata, Mammalia, Primates, Hominidae.
CCUGGUCUUGAGACCCGGUCUUGGGACGCAGGGCUACCGUGCAGCUGAGGGUGCCGGUUUUGGGUAUGGGUACUGUGUAGAAGUGGAGGAGGAAGCUGAAGCGCGGGUCACCCUCGGGGCUUGGGGACAGCAGGCUCACACAGUUGCCCUUGGCCGCCCGGCCCUGGAUGAGUUCCACGGUGCCUCCCUCAGGCCCCAAGUCCAGGUGGCAGCUGUCUAACUGGAGCAGGAACUCGGAGACGGAUGGGGACACUCUGACCUGCAUGGGCUGUCUCCCUCCUGACUCUGGGAGUCUCAUCUCCUCUGGAGUCAUGGUGGGAAGAAAGGCGGAGAGGAAGUUCCAGGAGCUGGGAGGCCCGAGGGGUGACAGGCAUGCCAGGUGUGGUGGCAGACACCCAUAGUCCCAGCUACUGGGAAGGCUGAGGCACAAGAAUCGCUUGAACCUGAGAGGAGGAGGCUGCAGUGAGCCGAGAUCACAUCAUUGCACUCCAGCCUUGGUGACAGAGCGAGACCUCGUCUCU